AGGGCGCAUGGUGAAUGCCUUGGCAUCAGGAGCCGAUGAAGGACGUGAUAAGCUGCGAUAAGCUUCGGGUAGGCGCACAUAGCCAGUGAUCCGGAGAUUUCCGAAUGUGGGAACACACAUGGGAAACCCCAUGUAUCGUAUAGUGAAUACAUAGCUAUACGAGGGUAAACCUAGGGAACUGAAACAUCUAAGUACCUAGAGGAAGAGAAAGAAAAAUCGAUUUCCUAAGUAGCGGCGAGCGAAAGGGAAAUAGCCCAAACCAAAGAUUUAUCUUUGGGGUUGCGGACAGAGCAUUAACGAGAAGUCGUAACUAACCGAACACAACUGGAAAGUUGGACCGUAGGAGGUAAUAGUCCUGUAGGUGAAAGUUAAGAUAAUCAAGCUCUGAUCCAGAGUACCACGAGACACGUGAAACCUUGUGGGAAGCAGGGAGGACCACCUCCCAAGGCUAAAUACUACCUGAUGACCGAUAGUGAAGCAGUACCGUGAGGGAAAGGUGAAAAGAACCCCGGGAGGGGAGUGAAAUAGAACCUGAAACCGUGUGCCUACAACCGGUCAAAGCCCCAUAUGAGGGUGAUGACGUGCUUUUUGUAGAACGAGCCAACGAGUUACGGUAUGUAGCAAGGUUAAGUACUUAAGGUACGGAGCCGAAGGGAAACCGAGUCUUAAUAGGGCGACUAGUUGCAUGCCGUAGACCCGAAACCGGGUGACCUAUCCAUGGCCAGGUUGAAGCGAGGGUAAAACUUCGUGGAGGACCGAACCACGUUGCUGUUGAAAAAGCAUGGGAUGAGCUGUGGAUAGCGGAGAAAUUCCAAUCGAACUCGGAGAUAGCUGGUUCUCCCCGAAAUAGCUUUAGGGCUAGCGUCGGAUAUGUGUAGUGGAGGUAGAGCACUGAAUGGGCUAGGGGGCAUAUCGCUUACCGAACCUUAUCAAACUCCGAAUGCCAUAUACAUUUAGUCCGGCAGUCAGACUACGAAUGAUAAGAUCCGUGGUCAAAAGGGAAACAGCCCAGAUCGUCAGCUAAGGUCCCAAAGUGUAAGUUAAGUGGAAAAGGAUGUGGGAUUUCUAAGACAACUAGGAUGUUGGCUUAGAAGCAGCCACUCAUUUAAAGAGUGCGUAAUAGCUCACUAGUCGAGAGAUCCUGCGCCGAAAAUGUCCGGGGCUCAAACUUACCACCGAAGCUACGGGCUUGCGUAAGCAAGCGGUAGGGGAGCGUCGUAAUCGGGCUGAAGUCGUACCGUAAGGAGCGGUGGACUGAUUACGAGUGAGAAUGUUGGCAUUAGUAGCGAGAUGUAGGUGAGAAUCCUACAGGCCGAAUAUCUAAGGUUUCCUCAGGAAGGCUCGUCCGCUGAGGGUUAGUCGGGACCUAAGCCGAGGCCGAAAGGCGUAGGCGAUGGACAAUCGGUUGAUAUUCCGAUACCACUACCAUCGUUAUUAUCGAGGGUGUGACGGAGAAGGAUAGUGUGUGCUAGCGAUUGGAAAUGCUAGUCUAAGCGUUUAGGGAGUUACGGUAGGCAAAUCCGCUGUAACAAUUCUGAGGCGUGAUGGGGAAGGCCAUAUAGGCCGAAGUACAUGAUUCCAUGCUUCCAAGAAAAGCAUCUAGAGAGAGAAGUAGUGCCCGUACCGCAAACCGACACAGGUAGAUGAGGAGAGAAUCCUAAGGCCGGCGGAAGAAUUGCAGUUAAGGAACUAGGCAAAUUGACCCCGUAAGUUCGCGAGAAGGGGUGCCUGCGAGAGCAGGCCGCAGAGAAUAGGCCCAAGCAACUGUUUAGCAAAAACACAGGUCUCUGCUAAAGCGUAAGCUGAUGUAUAGGGGCUGACGCCUGCCCGGUGCUGGAAGGUUAAGGGGAACACUUAGCGCAAGCGAAGGUGUGAACUUAAGCCCCAGUAAACGGCGGCCGUAACUAUAACGGUCCUAAGGUAGCGAAAUUCCUUGUCAGGUAAGUUCUGACCCGCACGAAUGGCGUAAUGACUUGGGCACUGUCUCAACUGUGAAUCCGGCGAAGUUGUAGUGCGAGUGAAGAUGCUCGCUACCCGCGAUUGGACGGAAAGACCCCGUAGAGCUUUACUGUAGCUUAGCAUUGAAUUCCGGUAUUGUCUGUACAGGAUAGGUGGGAGACUGGGAAAUCAGGGCGUCAGCCUUGAUGGAGUCGUCCUUGGGAUACCACCCUGACAGUACUGAGGUUCUAACUGGAUGCCAUGAAUCUGGUGACAGGACAUUGUUAGGUGGGCAGUUUGACUGGGGCGGUCGCCUCCUAAAAAGUAACGGAGGCGUUCAAAGGUUCGCUCAGCUUGAACGGAAAUCAAGCAAAAG
RNAcentral lists this ribosomal RNA (2314 nucleotides) under human gut metagenome. RNAcentral's name for it is "bacterial LSU rRNA". It matches the Rfam family "Bacterial large subunit ribosomal RNA", at positions 14 to 2347 of the family's 2925-position model. The record is from RNAcentral.